RNAcentral lists this ribosomal RNA (836 nucleotides) under Escherichia coli. Its description in RNAcentral is "partial 23S ribosomal RNA". It matches the Rfam family "Bacterial large subunit ribosomal RNA", at positions 351 to 1191 of the family's 2925-position model. Lineage: Bacteria; Pseudomonadati; Pseudomonadota; Gammaproteobacteria; Enterobacterales; Enterobacteriaceae. The record is from RNAcentral.
CGUGCGAUACAGGGUGACAGCCCCGUACACAAAAAUGCACAUAUUGUGAGCUCGAUGAGUAGGGCGGGACACGUGGUAUCCUGUCUGAAUAUGGGGGGACCAUCCUCCAAGGCUAAAUACUCCUGACUGACCGAUAGUGAACCAGUACCGUGAGGGAAAGGCGAAAAGAACCCCGGCGAGGGGAGUGAAAAAGAACCUGAAACCGUGUACGUACAAGCAGUGGGAGCACGCUUAGGCGUGUGACUGCGUACCUUUUGUAUAAUGGGUCAGCGACUUAUAUUCUGUAGCAAGGUUAACCGAAUAGGGGAGCCGAAGGGAAACCGAGUCUUAACUGGGCGUUAAGUUGCAGGGUAUAGACCCGAAACCCGGUGAUCUAGCCAUGGGCAGGUUGAAGGUUGGGUAACACUAACUGGAGGACCGAACCGACUAAUGUUGAAAAAUUAGCGGAUGACUUGUGGCUGGGGGUGAAAGGCCAAUCAAACCGGGAGAUAGCUGGUUCUCCCCGAAAGCUAUUUAGGUAGCGCCUCGUGAAUUCAUCUCCGGGGGUAGAGCACUGUUUCGGCAAGGGGGUCAUCCCGACUUACCAACCCGAUGCAAACUGCGAAUACCGGAGAAUGUUAUCACGGGAGACACACGGCGGGUGCUAACGUCCGUCGUGAAGAGGGAAACAACCCAGACCGCCAGCUAAGGUCCCAAAGUCAUGGUUAAGUGGGAAACGAUGUGGGAAGGCCCAGACAGCCAGGAUGUUGGCUUAGAAGCAGCCAUCAUUUAAAGAAAGCGUAAUAGCUCACUGGUCGAGUCGGCCUGCGCGGAAGAUGUAACGGGGCUAAACCAUG